RNAcentral lists this ribosomal RNA (547 nucleotides) under Salmonella enterica. Its description in RNAcentral is "partial 23S ribosomal RNA". It matches the Rfam family "Bacterial large subunit ribosomal RNA", at positions 76 to 666 of the family's 2925-position model. Lineage: Bacteria; Pseudomonadati; Pseudomonadota; Gammaproteobacteria; Enterobacterales; Enterobacteriaceae. The record is from RNAcentral. RNAcentral also lists the same sequence under 1 other name.
CGCCGGUAAGGUGAUAUGAACCGUUAUAACCGGCGAUACCCGAAUGGGGAAACCCAGUGUGACUCGUCACACUAUCAUUAACUGAAUCCAUAGGUUAAUGAGGCGAACCGGGGGAACUGAAACAUCUAAGUACCCCGAGGAAAAGAAAUCAACCGAGAUUCCCCCAGUAGCGGCGAGCGAACGGGGAGGAGCCCAGAGCCUGAAUCAGCAUGUGUGUUAGUGGAAGCGUCUGGAAAGGCGCGCGAUACAGGGUGACAGCCCCGUACACAAAAGCGCAUGUGCUGUGAGCUCGAUGAGUAGGGCGGGACACGUGGUAUCCUGUCUGAAUAUGGGGGGACCAUCCUCCAAGGCUAAAUACUCCUGACUGACCGAUAGUGAACCAGUACCGUGAGGGAAAGGCGAAAAGAACCCCGGCGAGGGGAGUGAAAAAGAACCUGAAACCGUGUACGUACAAGCAGUGGGAGCACCCUUUGGGUGUGACUGCGUACCUUUUGUAUAAUGGGUCAGCGACUUAUAUUCUGUAGCAAGGUUAACCGAAUAGGGGAGC